GACGAACGCUGGCGGCGUGCCUAAUACAUGCAAGUUGAGCGAUGAAGAUUGGUGCUUGCACCAAUUUGAAGAGCAGCGAACGGGUGAGUAACGCGUGGGGAAUCUGCCUUUGAGCGGGGGACAACAUUUGGAAACGAAUGCUAAUACCGCAUAACAACUUUAAACAUAAGUUUUAAGUUUGAAAGAUGCAAUUGCAUCACUCAAGGAUGAUCCCGCGUUGUAUUAGCUAGUUGGUGAGGUAAAGGCUCACCAAGGCGAUGAUACAUAGCCGACCUGAGAGGGUGAUCGGCCACAGUGGGACUGAGACACGGCCCAAACUCCUACGGGAGGCAGCAGUAGGGAAUCUUCGGCAAUGGACGAAAGUCUGACCGAGCAACGCCGCGUGAGUGAAGAAGGUUUUCGGAUCGUAAAACUCUGUUGGUAGAGAAGAACGUUGGUGAGAGUGGAAAGCUCAUCAAGUGACGGUAACUACCCAGAAAGGGACGGCUAACUACGUG
This 497-nucleotide ribosomal RNA is filed under the name uncultured bacterium. Its description in RNAcentral is "partial 16S ribosomal RNA". It matches the Rfam family "Bacterial small subunit ribosomal RNA", at positions 28 to 507 of the family's 1533-position model. The record is from RNAcentral.